RNAcentral lists this unclassified non-coding RNA (171 nucleotides) under uncultured Helotiales. RNAcentral's name for it is "sequence contains ITS1". The record is from RNAcentral. Lineage: Eukaryota; Fungi; Ascomycota; Leotiomycetes; Helotiales.
CCGAGUUCAUGCCCUUACGGGUAGAUCUCCCACCCUAUGUUAUAUAUUACCUUUGUUGCUUUGGCAGGCCGUCAGGCCUCGGUCAGGCUACCGGCUCCGGCUGGUAAGCGCCUGCCAGAGGACCCCCAACUCUGCGUUUAGUGUUGUCUGAGUAAUAUUUUUAAUACGUUA